RNAcentral lists this ribosomal RNA (492 nucleotides) under uncultured bacterium. RNAcentral's name for it is "partial 16S ribosomal RNA". It matches the Rfam family "Bacterial small subunit ribosomal RNA", at positions 29 to 507 of the family's 1533-position model. The record is from RNAcentral.
AGUGAACGCUGGCGGUAGGCCUAACACAUGCAAGUCGAACGGCAGCACAGUAAGAGCUUGCUCUUACGGGUGGCGAGUGGCGGACGGGUGAGGAAUACAUCGGAAUCUACUUUUUCGUGGGGGAUAACGUAGGGAAACUUACGCUAAUACCGCAUACGACCUACGGGUGAAAGCAGGGGACCUUCGGACCUUGCGCGAUUGAAUGAGCCGAUGUCGGAUUAGCUAGUUGGCGGGGUAAAGGCCCACCAAGGCGACGAUCCGUAGCUGGUCUGAGAGGAUGAUCAGCCACACUGGAACUGAGACACGGUCCAGACUCCUACGGGAGGCAGCAGUGGGGAAUAUUGGACAAUGGGCGCAAGCCUGAUCCAGCCAUACCGCGUGGGUGAAGAAGGCCUUCGGGUUGUAAAGCCCUUUUGUUGGGAAAGAAAAGCAGCAGGUUAAUACCCCGCUGUUCUGACGGUACCCAAAGAAUAAGCACCGGCUGACUUCGUG